UUGGAGGGCAAGUCUGGUGCCAGCAGCCGCGGUAAUUCCAGCUCCAAUAGCGUAUAUUAAAGUUGUUGUGGUUAAAAAAGCUCGUAGUUGAAUCUUGGGCCUGGCUGGCCGGUCCGCCUCACCGCGUGUACUGGUCCGGCCGGGUCUUUCACUCUGCGGAACCACAUGCCCUUCAGUGGGUGUGGCGGGGAAGCAGGACUUUUACUUUGAAAAAAUUAGAGUGCUCUAAGCAGGCCAAUGCUCGAAUACAUUAGCAUGGAAUAAUAAAUAGG
This 272-nucleotide ribosomal RNA is filed under the name uncultured Ascomycota. RNAcentral describes it as "partial 18S ribosomal RNA". It matches the Rfam family "Eukaryotic small subunit ribosomal RNA", at positions 548 to 825 of the family's 1831-position model. The record is from RNAcentral. Lineage: Eukaryota; Fungi; Ascomycota.